UAAAGGUUUGGUCCUAGCCUUACUGUUAAUUAUAAUUAAAACUACACAUGCAAGUUUCCGCUGCCCAGUGAGAAUGCCCUUAAAAUUCCAUAAAAUCAAAAGGAGCCGGCAUCAGGCACACCCUAGGUAGCCCAUUACGCCUUGCUUAACCACACCCCCACGGGAAACAGCAGUGACUAACAUUAAGACAUAAACGAAAGUUUGACUAAAUUAUAAUUAUAUAGGGUUGGUAAAUUUCGUGCCAGCCACCGCGGUCAUACGAUUAACCCAAAUUAACAGAAAGACGGCGUAAAGUGUGUUUAAGCUAAACAAGUAAAAUAAAGCUAAGAUUAGACUAGGCUGUAAUACGCCAGAGUUGACAUCAAAAUAAACAACCAAAGUGGCUUUAACUCCGCUGAGUACACGAAAGCUAAGACCCAAACUGGGAUUAGAUACCCCACUAUGCUUAGCCCUAAACCUAGAUAGUUAUUAUAACAAAACUAUUCGCCAGAGAACUACUAGCCAGCGCUUAAAACUCAAAGGACUUGGCGGUGCCCUAAACCCACCUAGAGGAGCCUGUUCUAUAAUCGAUAAACCCCGAUAGACCUCACCUCUUCUUGCUAAUACAGUCUAUAUACCGCCAUCGUCAGCUUACCCCAACAGGGAGGAAAAGUAAGCAAGAUAAUUAACCAUAAAAACGUUAGGUCAAGGUGUAACAUAUGAAGAGGAAAGUAAUGGGCUACAUUUUCUAUUUUAGAACACAACGGAUCAUCUUAUGAAACCUAAGAUAUGAAGGAGGAUUUAGCAGUAAAUCAAGAAUAGAGAGCUUGGUUGAAACAGGCAAUAGGGCGCGCACACACCGCCCGUCACCCUCCUCAAUAUUAAACCUACAUUUACCUAAUAAAUUAGAUAAUCAAAAGAGGAGAAAAGUCGUAACAUGGUAAGUGUACUGGAAAGUGCACUUGGAGUAC
RNAcentral lists this non-coding RNA (950 nucleotides) under Burramys parvus (mountain pygmy possum). Its description in RNAcentral is "12S ribosomal RNA". It matches the Rfam family "Bacterial small subunit ribosomal RNA". Lineage: Eukaryota; Metazoa; Chordata; Mammalia; Diprotodontia; Burramyidae. The record is from RNAcentral.